GACGAACGCUGGCGGCGUGCUUAACACAUGCAAGUCGAACGGUAAGGCCCUUCGGGGUACACGAGUGGCGAACGGGUGAGUAACACGUGGGUGAUCUGCCCUGCACUUCGGGAUAAGCCUGGGAAACUGGGUCUAAUACCGGAUAGGACCACUGCCUGCAUGGGUGGUGGUGGAAAGCUUUUGCGGUGUGGGAUGGGCCCGCGGCCUAUGAGGUUGUUGGGGGGGUGAUGGCCUACCAAGGCGACGACGGGUAGCCGGCCUGAGAGGGUGACCGGCCACACUGGGACUGAGAUACGGCCCAGACUCCUACGGGAGGCAGCAGUGGGGAAUAUUGCACAAUGGGCGCAAGCCUGAUGCAGCGACGCCGCGUGAGGGAUGACGGCCUUCGGGUUGUAAACCUCUUUCAGCACCGACGAAGCGCAAGUGACGGUAGGUGCAGAAGAAGGACCGGCCAACUACGUGCCAGCAGCCGCCGUAA
RNAcentral lists this ribosomal RNA (478 nucleotides) under uncultured bacterium. RNAcentral's name for it is "partial 16S ribosomal RNA". It matches the Rfam family "Bacterial small subunit ribosomal RNA", at positions 28 to 523 of the family's 1533-position model. The record is from RNAcentral.